UUCAGGAUUAAUUUCUUGGUCACAACCUGCCACUCGGUCUUUCCAAUUAUUCUUAGGUCCCCAGAACCAAGAAUUCGAGAAAGGCAACUGUAUAUAUUGAAAUAUAGAAAUAAAAAUCAUUAGAAAUCUCCAUUUUCCUGGUAGUGGCUUCCCUGCCUCUGUCCCAUCUUCCGCCACUUCAGGCCAGAGUUUGCAACAACCUGUAAGGCACAAAUUGUGUUUCCAGCGAGGCUUCUGGUCCUUGUUUUCUGACUGCCUGGCCAUUUCUGACAGGAUUUAGCCUCUUUUGAGGCUUCCUCCAAUCUCUGCGGAGCCUUCAGGGUGGCUGUGCUUGAGGGAAGCAAGUUCAAAUCCUCCAGAGAAAUUUUUCUCCAUUUCCACAGAUGGUUCCUGGACAGGAAGGAAAAGAAGAUGGAGAAACGACCGUCUCUGGAGACGUCGAAGCCUUUAUGGGGCAGGGAAACAAUGAGAGAGGCCUUUCCUCCGACUCCUAUACGCAUCAUCCCUGUCCUCCCCUUUCCCCUCAGAUACGCUCCUCUUUCCUGCCCUUGCCGGGAAUGCUGGCACUUUGCACAGAAUCCAUUAGAGGGCGCUCUCAGCUGCAGGAGGGAACUGAGCAUGCGCCGGCUUGUUCCGCGGGCGCAAGGCACGUGUUGCCCGACGAUCUUGCCAAAAGAGGUUGGGGGCGCAUCUUGCCCUUCUUCCCCCGUUGUGGCGGGGCGGGGCUUUUGCGGGAGGCGCAGAGGCUGCCGGGAAGCCUUGCGUGGACGCGGAUGGCGACGAGACUCCCGAGUUCCAUGCAGAAACUAGAGUCAUCUCAGCAACCUUCCUAGCAACAAAAAGUUAACUCUUGGGUGAAGGGCCUGGAUAGCCUUUGUGGUCAGUUCUGCAGCUACAGGAAUAUUCGUAUGAAUUGAAGGGUGUUUGGAGAUUCACAAGAUUCUUCCGACCUAUCUGGAAUUUCCUUCCAGGGCAGACAAAGGAUGCAGAAACAACCAUUAGCAAGUGAGGGUGUUGUGGAAAAAACCACGAUGCUUACAUCAGAAGACAAGACCACGAAGGGUUGGAGAAAACAGGCUUUAUUUGUGCACAAUGGUUCAGAGCAUUCACAUGACAAAUUCUGAACCUUGAGCUAUUCUCAGAGAGUAAUUCUUAUAGCAUUAACCACCCACGCCUUAGCCUUAGGGUGGCUCUUAUCUACCUUUGACACACUAAAACAGAGAAGUUUAUAUCUUGAAGCUACAUAAGUAAAAGGAGAAGUUGACACAAACGGUUGUCUUACCACACCUUUCUGCACGGGUGCUAUCUUACAACAUCUGUGACUUUUAGUUGACACUGACACUUCUUGUAAAAUGGUUUCUACAUAGCAUGAACACAUCUCUAUAAUUAUGACACACAGAUUAUAUGAUUUAGGUUACAUUGCACAGCCAAACUUAAUAUUAUCUAUUAACUAUUAUCAGCAACAAGCAUUUCUGUUAAGAUAUAGAUAUAUUUUGAUGAACUUUGCCUGCCCACCUCAAGGGAAUUGGAAAAGGCCCUUCUGCUGUAGAGCCUGGCAGCUAUUAGAAGAUCUGGGGAAGAAUUGGGCAGCAGAUCCUGGAGGAGAAAACCAUCACAUUUUCAGAGGUUUAGCCCUGGAACCUCAGUAGCAUCAAAUACCAGGAGGCUGAGGUCCCCGAGGACUUUGCAGCCGACUCCACAACUUUUGUAAUCAACGGUUGAGACCAGAAAAACACACCAAAGUGCAAAUGCUGGCCCUGGUUGUUAUGCAGCAGCUCCUGAGUCUUCUGCCCCCAGAAAUAGAGAGCUGGGUUUGGGAGUAUGGAGCAGAGACCAGCUCCCAAGCGUUGGCCCUGGCAGAAGGCUUCCUCCUGAGUCAGGCAGAGGAGCAGAAGGAGCAGGUUGAAUUGCAGGUGAGGGAUCUUCGUCGUGGGAGUCCAGAAGGGAAUAAAGAACGUUUUUAAAUUCUUCGCCCCUCCCUUUCUUUCUUACGUUCCGGACUCUCUGAUGGACACUCAAGAAAUUGAAGUUGUGUUUAGAGACUAAGAAUCCAUUUCUUGUUGUAUAAUGCCCAUUAAUUUGUUUUAUUUUCUCCUGUCUCCUGUUUCAAGUCCUUCACUAUGGAUAUCAGAGAUAGUAUGGAAAGGAGGAAUCCAUCCAAUCCCCCGCGGGAGGUUUUUUUUCCAGGAGGAUCUCUCAGGAAGAUCCAAGUCAGAACACCUCAAAUGGAAGGUCUUGUGUCCUUCGAGGAGAUGGCUGUGUAUUCCUCCGAGGAGGAGGGGUCUUAGCUGGAUGUUCACCAAAAAAGCACUGCAUUGUGAAGUCAUGCUGGAAAAAUCAUAGGAAUGUGGACUGUCUGGCAAAGUAUGGUGAGUUGACUGUGCCAAGAUGGCCAUGGCGAGGUGGUUGCGGCAAGUUGGCUGUGUCUGGUUGUCCCAUUUUGACGUGCGAGGUGGAUGUUGCUGUUAUAAGCAAGAGAGGAAGAGAAAAGUUUGCUUCUGAUGGAUAUCUCUGUGUAUUCGAUAAGCUGAGUGAAGUUGAUUCUUCCCGUUACAUUUUGGCGCUGUGAUCAGUAUAGAAAAUGCAAGGCUAGAAUUCACACCAGAAACAGAGAAGUAAUAAAGAGGAUCAACAGUCAUUCCCAUUGGCCUUCAACAGUGAAUGUGGAAGUGGCAGGAUUUGUGACUAGGAUGAAGCGUCGAGCUGAAGAGACAGUGAAAGGGAUAUCCCAAAUUAUUAAUACCUGUCUGGCCAAGUGAGCCCAGCGGUCUAUGCUGCAGUACCUAGAACUUCAGCAUUGCAAAAAACUAUCCAGCGGACAUGAAAACAAAUGCAGGCAGCACCUUUGGACACAGUGAGCUUGGAUUACCUCGUAUUACCCAGGGAAUACAAUAUCUAUUGACCAACUCCAGGCGUAGAAGAGCCAUUCUUACUUGGCGAUUUCGGAGAGGGAUUGAGGAGGAUCCUAAUAUUUGGCAGAAGUAGUUGCUUGUACAUUCUGCAGUCAUCUGACAACUGGAUGGCACUUUUGCAAUUGUUCCCAAGCUCUUUGCUCAGGUUUAUGUGAUCCUAGCAAAGAACUAUGGAGGUGUGCAUCCUGUGUUGUAUGCACUUCUGCCAAACAAACUGCGCUACAUAUAAAUUGCUGUUUGAAUUUAUGAAAAUCCUGGUGGCUUAUAUCCAACCACAGACCAUUCUCUGUUUGUUCCACCUCACCCAGAACGUGAGAAAGCAUUUGGUAGCAAUUGGAGCUGCUCAUGAAUUCAACACCAAUGCAGAGUUUGCUGUGAAGGCAAAAAUGGUUUCAGUGUUGGCAUUUGUGCCUGUCCCGGUCUUGGAAGAAUAUGUUGUUGCUCUAGAAGAAUAUCUGCCAGGAGAGCUGCAACCUCUACUGAACUGGUUCGAGGACAGCUACAUAGGUUAUCCAGGCAGGAGAGGGCAAGGAAGACAAACACCGCUGUAGUCAAUCGCAGCUACUUCUGGAGGGAACUGAAAUCCCCCUUCCCUCUCCACAGGGGGGAAAGUACUUUAGCAGCUUGUGAAGGUACAUAAAGCAAUUAGGAUUUAAGAGAGGUAGAUCUCACCCAAUCCUUUCCACGCUGCUUUGAAGUUGCCAGAUGGUGAGUGUGACUUCGGCUGUCUGCAGCCUAGUGAUGAGCCGUAUUGGUCUUUCGUCCACCAGUUUGGUUUGGAAGGAGCGGGAGAGCUACCACUCUCCUGCAAUCCAGCAAGAGCACCUCCUUGCUGGUCACCUCUACGGGGCGACUUUCGACCCUUUUCAGGGUUCCCCAGCGAUGCAAAACUGGAUGUUUGCGAGACCGCCUACUAUCUCAUAGUUCCCUUCAUCUGGUUAGAUCCCACA
This is a long non-coding RNA of Crotalus tigris (Tiger rattlesnake), 3862 nucleotides long. RefSeq lists it as uncharacterized. NCBI's taxonomy places the organism in Eukaryota, Metazoa, Chordata, Lepidosauria, Squamata, Viperidae. The transcript is spliced from 4 exons. The record is from RefSeq and is a predicted model, not a curated record.